CUUCUGAGCAGCUCUGCUGGUCAGAGGCCCCUCCCCUAGUAUUGAUUUCCUGCUUCUGCAGAGCCAGAGAGGGGAUACUGAGAAUCUUGCAAGUUUCCACUUUCCCAGACAUGUGCUGUUUUGUUUACCUCCUGAGUCUCAUAAGCCCCCUCCCUCCUGGAGAGAAGGUUUCAAUGCUGAGGAAACUGCCGGAGAACAGAGACCCAGUAAAAUAAAAGCACUUCAUUAUAAAAAGAAAGAAAGUAAAACACAAUGGUGAAAGGGAAUUGACAAAGAGACAACAGCAAUUCUGAAUUACAACAGAUUUUUCAGAAAACCACAGAUGCAAGAGAAAACCUGACUCAGCAGAUAAUAAGCAUUUACAACCUACACUUGUAAAACAAAAUGGACUGCCUCUCUCUUCCAGCACCUAGCAAUUGCCAAACUAAAUUGGACUUGGUUUUUAUGUUUAAAAAGAAGAACACACAAAGUUAGGUGGAUUUAGAGUGGGGUGUACAAAGGAAGACUCGAGGGGUUGAAUGUGAUCAAAACACAUCCUACCAAAUUCUGAAAGAACUAAUAGAAAAAUUACAACCUAAGAUGAUAAGCACCUCUAGUAUCCUGAUUAUACUUCAGCCAUUUAAAGGCCUUAGUUCAGAGUGAGAGAAGAUAAUGGAUAAAUAGGAAAUGAUUGUUGUGAAACAUUUGGACUCCUAAUGUUCACAUUAAUUUAGUGCCUGCCAUCCUCCUCCUCCAUUUAGUACUGACAUAAGUGGGGUUCUAAUUGAAGAAAUUAAAUCGGACAAGUGAUAUAGUGGGGAAUUACCAAUGCGGAGUCAGGUAGAAAUAUAAGGGUAUUUAAUAGGGAAAAACCUUACUUAUAGAGGGACCUAGCCAGCCGGCGUGGUAGCAGUCUGUACAGCAAGUCCCAAAGUGAAAGGGAAAGAGCAAACGCAUGGUCCCCUGACCAUGCCCUCGAAAGCUUGUGAGGGCGUGGUCAGGCACACCUGUAGCCAGCCCCUAAGUAGGCGUGGCUACAGCUUCCCCUACAAAGUGAGGCUUACAUAUCUGUGUAAAGAACAGAUUUGGUUAAGAACCCUCACAGCCCAUCAUUCCAUCUCCAGUGCUGAUGGCCCUGUCCUACAGAUGGGAUCCUCACAAAAAGAAGGUGGCCUGCUUCCUAUCUCUUUCGGUCACAAAUGUUAGAGCUUUAAAGCAAACUUUAUUUUUUUUUCUUGUUUCUUCCUUAGGUUCUUUCUUUUUUUUUGAAUUAGAAAGAUUGUUUUACAUGUCAAUCCCAGUUCUCUCUCCCUCCCCUCCUUCCCUACCACUCCAACUAAUACACUACCUAUUCCAUAUCCUUUCUGCUCUCCAGGGAGGGUGAGGCCUUCCAUAGUAGGUCUUCAGAAUCUGUCAUAUCUUUUGGGAUAGGGCGUAGGCCCACCCCCUUGAGUCUAGGCUCAGGGAGUAUCCUUCCAUGUGGGAUGGUAAAGCAAACUUUAAAGCAAGCUACACAGUUACAUAUUGAUGAUAUAUAUUUAUUACAACAAAAAUAAUUUGGACACUAUUGUCUGGGAAGGAUGUAGGCAUGGUUGUAUAUUGCCUGUCUCCUGAAAUCUAGACAUGUAACUCACAGAAUUAAAAAUAGAAUGACCAUAUAAUCCAGCCAUUCCACUACUGGGUAUAUAUUUAAAUGAAAUUAAGUCAGCAUGUACUUUUCACAUACUUAGUUACAGCAGUGUGUAAAAUAGGACAUAGAACCAACAGAUUAUAAAUAUAUGAUAAUCUAUCAGCCUAUGAAUACAUUAACUAAAUAUAUUUUGUAGUCACAAAGAUAUACUACUUACCCAUCUAAAGAAGAGAAUCUAACAAUUUGUAACAGCAUGGAUGAACUGAAAGUAGAGGAGUGUAUUUAAAGGAAAUAAUCCCAGCAUAAGAAGACAAGUACAUGGCUUCAAUUGUAUGUCCAGUUGUGAAAAACUAAUCUCUCUCUACAAUUAAUAAAUGGUACCUCCUGAAACUGAAAAGCUUCUGCAAGGCAAAGGACACACUCAACAAGACAAAACAGCAGCCACAGAAUGGGAAAAGAUAUUCACCAGCCCACAUCUGACAGAGGGCUGAUCUCCAAAUUUUACAAAGAAGUCAAGAAGAUGGUCUCCAAAACAUCAAAUAAUCCAAUUAAAAAAUGGGGUACAGAACUAAAUAGAGAAUUCUUAGUAGAGGAAUCUAAAAUGGCUGACAGACACUUAAGAAAGUACUCAAUAUCCUUAGCCAUCAUGGAAAUGCAAAUCAAAACAACUCUGACACCCACAGCUAAACACUGAACUGAACUCCUGGAAUUCAGUUGCAAAGAAGGAGAAAUGAUAAGCAAAGGGGUCAAGACCAGGCUGGUGAUACCCACAGAAACUGCUGACCUAAAUAAGGGGGAGCUCAUGUUACCCAGACUGAUUGCUGGGAAACCAGCAUAGGACUGAUCCAGACCCUCUGAACAUGGGUGACAGUGAGGAGGCCUCCGCAAUCUAUGGGGCUUCUGGUAGUAGAUUAGUACUUAUCCCUAGCAUACAAAUGGACUUUGGGAACCCAUUCCACAUAGAAGGAUACUCUCUCAACCUAGCCAUACAGGGGAGAGCCUAAACCCUGCUCCAAAUGAUAUGAUAGACAUUAAAGAUCCCCCAUGGAAAGCCUGGGGAGCAGAAAGGGGA
Molecule: long non-coding RNA, 2681 nt
Filed under: Cricetulus griseus (Chinese hamster)
Lineage: Eukaryota; Metazoa; Chordata; Mammalia; Rodentia; Cricetidae
Description: lncRNA (ENSCGRG00015030534.1)
Source: RNAcentral